AAAUAAAAUAAACUUUUGCCAACAACAAUAUUCUGAAUGAUAAGAUAGAACCACGAAUCCAAGGAGGAUACCCGGGCGCUCACGAUUUGCGCAGUGAACAGGGUGAAAUCUGAAAUCAACGUACGCAAUGGCAAACGCUACCGAAACGUCGCGUCCGUCUUCAGCACCGACGUAGGCAAGGACAAUGAGUAUCUCCCAGUUCCGAUACGCCUUAAAAACCCGCAGCUCAACUGCCCGCUUCCAACUCGGAAAACUCCAAUGACCUUGUCUCGAUCUAGACCUACCUCAAAGGACCAGCACCAAGAAGCUCAUCUCAACGGGAACGCGUGGGAACCAGGCGCGUGUAGUCGUGUGACAAUUUCUCCAGAGCAUCGUCAAAAUCACUGCCAAAAAACGGCACCAUGAUUUGAUUAAUGAGUUUAUGAGAAAUGUUGUGUAACAAAAUAAAAUAAAAUUACAAUAAAAAGUGAAACAAA
Molecule: long non-coding RNA, 476 nt
Organism: Culex quinquefasciatus (southern house mosquito)
Lineage: Eukaryota; Metazoa; Arthropoda; Insecta; Diptera; Culicidae
Exons: 2
Source: RefSeq, a predicted model, not a curated record